CCUACGGGGGGCAGCAGUCGAGAAUCAUUCACAAUGGGGGAAACCCUGAUGGUGCGACGCCGCGUGGGGGAAUGAAGGUCUUCGGAUUGUAAACCCCUGUCAUGGGGGAGCAAAUUAAAAAGAUAGUACCACAAGAGGAAGAGACGGCCCACUCUGUGCCAGCAGCCGCGGUAAUACACAGGUCUCAAGCGUUGUUCGGAAUCACUGGGCGUAAAGCGUGCGAAGGCUGUUUCGUAAGUCGUGUGUGAAAGGUGCGGGCUCAACCCGCGGCCGGCACAUGAUACUGGGAGACUAGAGUAAUGGAGGGGGAACCGGAAUUCUCGGUGUAGCAGUGAAAUGCGUAGAUAUCGGGAGGAACACUCGAGGCGAAGGCGGGUUCCUGGACAUUAACUGACGCUGAGGCACGAAGGCCAGGGGAGCGAAAGGGAUUAGAUACCCGGGUAGUC
Molecule: ribosomal RNA, 446 nt
Filed under: uncultured bacterium
Lineage: Bacteria
Description: partial 16S ribosomal RNA
Rfam family: Bacterial small subunit ribosomal RNA
Source: RNAcentral